Molecule: ribosomal RNA, 404 nt
Filed under: uncultured bacterium
Lineage: Bacteria
Description: bacterial SSU rRNA
Rfam family: Bacterial small subunit ribosomal RNA
Source: RNAcentral
UGGGGGAUAUUGCACAAUGGGGGAAACCCUGAUGCAGCAACGCCGCGUGAGGGAAGAAGGUUUUCGGAUUGUAAACCUCUGUCCUCAGUGAAGAUAAUGACGGUAGCUGAGGAGGAAGCUCCGGCUAACUACGUGCCAGCAGCCGCGGUAAUACGUAGGGAGCGAGCGUUGUCCGGAAUUACUGGGUGUAAAGGGUGCGUAGGCGGAUACGCAAGUCAGUAGUGAAAACCAUGGGCUUAACCCAUGACGUGCUAUUGAAACUGUGUAUCUUGAGUGAAGUAGAGGCAGGCGGAAUUCCCGGUGUAGCGGUGAAAUGCGUAGAGAUCGGGAGGAACACCAGUGGCGAAGGCGGCCUGCUGGGCUUUAACUGACGCUGAGGCACGAAAGUGUGGGUAGCAAACAGG